Molecule: long non-coding RNA, 10050 nt
Filed under: Homo sapiens (human)
Lineage: Eukaryota; Metazoa; Chordata; Mammalia; Primates; Hominidae
Description: non-protein coding lnc-ANO2-10:4
Source: RNAcentral
AGCAGCCAUAUUAGAGUGAAGAGGCCUGGUUGUGGAGGGCUGUGCGCUCAGCGUGGAAUUAUAGCAGUUCAUUUUCUAAAGUGCCACGAGACCUGGGGAUGAACCUUCCGAGAGAAGGGAAAACCACAACAGCAGUCCCCUCGUAGAGAUGCAAUUCAUCAUGGGCAGGACGGCUGGGUCUGUCAACAGGAAGGGCUCUUUUCCCUGUGACGCACAAAAGCAAUCCCACGGGCUCUGUGUUGCAGCAAGAGGACCCUGAACUCCCUCAGACACCCUGGCUGUGUGCAGGGAGCCUCCGAAAUCCAGAGACGGGAGGCAUGCAUCGCCAUGUGAGCACCGAGCGGAGGCAUAAUGGGACUCCAGUUCCUAUGCCCCCACCAUAUUUUCUCUCUAAUUAAGAGUGGGGAUAGUUUGUGGUGAGGGUAGUUUGCAGUGGGAGUGAGACCCAUUUAUUUUGUUUCUUGUUAUUUUUUCAUUGAGAUGUAACUUAGAAGUAGUCUCAGGAAUAAGAGGGACACUUUUGCUUCCUGGUAAACAGAGGCUAGCAGUCUACUAAUAACCUGGCUAAGAGACCAGGCAAGGUAGCAGCUGCCAUCCUGAACACCACUGCAUCAGCUCAGCCACCUCCCAGGAGUGAGUCCAGCCAGGAGUGAGACCUUGUGACCCCACAGAGCCCACAAUACCCCACAAUGGAGCAGGGAGCACCAGCCGGAACUCACCCCUGCUGCCAUUCCUCCUCCUACCAGCAAGCCUCUAGCGACAUCUCUGAACAUGGUCUCUCCCUGCUCACACUCAGCUAUGCAGAGCGGGAAAAGGUACAACCUUCAGAACGUUCUGCUUAGCUACUACGCUCUAACCCGGUGGAUAAAGGAUAACCAGCAUCCCCUGUCAGGACACAGGGAGCUGUCCUGCAGAGCUGGCUCUACAUCAGAUCUGAUCUGAAUGCACUUGUUCUAAAACGCUUCAUCAAAAGAUUAACUGCAUGCUCUUCCUUCAGCGUUUCCUGUCCAAAACAAGCACUGGGGAUUCUGAGGAACCUCUGAGGAGCACCCUGCCUUUACUUGCAGUUCUUCCAGAGAGAUGUUGGAGCUGACAACUGGAGACAAUAUGGCUUGGUGACAACAUCAUAAAAGGAAUCUAAAGAAGUUGGAAUGGAAAGCAAAAGAACACUGCCAUAUUUUUACCAGGUGGCCCCACCACGCGCUACACAGACCAAGAGAGUGAACAUGUCCUUGUUCUUAAAGAGCUCACAAAUGAAUAUCUUUUUUUUUCCCUGAGACUGAUUCUUGCUCUGUCACCCAGGCUAGAGUGCAGUGGCGCGAUCUUGGCUCACUGCAAUCUCCACCUCCCGGGUUCAAGCAAUUCUCCUGCCUUGGCCUCCCAAGUAGCUGGGAUGACAGGCGCGAGCCACCAUGCCUGGUUAUUUUUUUUUUUUUUUUGUAUUUUUAGUAGAGACGGGAUUUCACCAUCUUGGCCUGGCUGGUCUUGAACUCCUGACCUCGUGAUCUUCCCACCGCAACCUCCCAAGGUGCUGGGAUUAUAGGCGUGAGCCGCCGUGCCUGGCCUGAAUAUUCUUAAACAAGGAGUGAAACAGAAAUAGUGUGUUCCUGUAUUUCAGAAUGACAAAGGAAACCAGGAACACUUGCAGGUUAAUAAGUCCAUCCCCCUGUCUCAGAGCAGAGUUCUCUGCUGAAAGGGCUACAGACUGACACCUUCUGUUUGAGGUCCACCCUAAUCGAAGUCCAUCUCUGGACUUUCAACCUGAAGUUCCGGUGCUGUUUCAGGCUCCAUGAACCAUGUGUGAUCAAAACACUCUAAGGAAUUAGUGGUUUUCUCACAUGCACUCCUUGACAUCUGUUCUUUAGCCUGCCAGCCAUAUUUGAUGCUAAGGGAGAAAGAGAGAGCUGUCUCCCAAACAGAAUCCUUUGCCAUACAUCUAUCGUGUAGUGUUGACAGUCCUUCUUGCAGUGUGGUGCGGGGGCAAUGAUAUCUCUGUAAAAAUUCUCACUAGGAUCCAAUGAUUUAUUUAGCUAACAGCUAAGUUAAUUAUGUCAGUUUGACAAUUUCAAGAGGGAAGGAAAAACACACAUGGGCUGGAUGAGGAGAUUGUCUCCGUAAUAUUUUAUACCAGGACAUGGUUAGGAAACCCAAUGAUUUCUUGGUACAAAUCUCUAAGCGAUCAAACAUUCCCCUAUAAUCAAGACCAUCACUAAGUUUUAAAAGAAAUAUAUUUUCCCCCACAACUGAAACGGGUGAAGUAAGGCAAAAACACCAAGCGAAAAAUAAGCAUUCGGUUUUCAAGUAAUGGACUGUUUCCUCUGGAAGGAGAAGGGAAUCUGGGUGUCUGGAUCCCGGUUUCUGCUCUGCUUCUUAGUGGCCCUCUCUUCACCUUAGCUUUCUCAUCUGUACAGCAAAGGAUUGGCCAAGCAGGCAUCUAAGCCCUUACAGUUAUUGCCUGCCAGGAUGCCAUAUGAUCAUGGAUGUUCAGUUUUCAGGACUCUGGGACAAGGAGUGGAGUCAGGUGAACACUGGGACUAAGCAGACAUCACAGGUUCUCUGCCUCAGAGCCAAAGCCACAUUCCCCGCCCUGGUCAGAGAAGGCCUUCCUUGUUUCUUAUAGCAUUAAUCUCAGUACCUCUAUGCUAUUCAAAGGCUCAACUAUUGCAUUUUCUUUACACAAAAUUCUUACUGAUCUCUUUCUCCCAUAGGUCUUGAAGCUAAGUACAGAUUUAUUCAUCCUUUCUAUGCAUAUUUUUGAGCACCUGCUAUAGGAAAAACACUGUUUCCAGUACUAGGGAUAUAGGGCAAACAAAACAAUCUCUGCUGUCAUAGAGAUACCUGCUGGAGCUUUGAUAGCUUUCUGCAUGAGAAAUGGGCUAGGUAGGAUUCUCACAUUAGGGAUGAGAAAAGGAGGAACCGUGGGCAGACAAUUUCAGCACUCUGGAGAUGCAAGACAAAAACAAAGUCUGCAAACAGACUAGAAUAGAAUAGCUUAUAAAAGGACAUUGUGAGCUGGGAGCGGUGGCUCACACCUGUAAUCCCAGCACUUUGGGAGGCUGAAGUGGGCAGAUCACUCAAGGCCAGGAGUUUGAGACCAGCCUGGCCAACAUGACAAAACCCUGUCUCUACUAAAAAAAAAUACAAAAAUUAGCCAGGUGGCACAUGCCUGUAAUCCCAGCCACUGGGUAGGCUAAGACACAAGAAUCGCUUGAACCCAGGAGGUGGAGGUUGUAGUGAGCCGAGAUCACAGCAAUCACUGCAGCCUAAGGGAAAGAGUGAAACUCUGUGUCCAAAAAAAAAAAAAAAAAAAGAAGAAAGAAAAAAGAAAAAAAGGACAUUGUGACAGAACAGUGUUUGCAUAAUACCUUAGUUUCUUCUGCAACUAAGAAGUAACAUUUACAGGACAGUCUAGGAUGGAGAAAUCCCUUCUACAAAUUUCCUAUCAUUUUCUUUAACAAAAACCUGUCAAGGUAUUAUUAUUGCCUUUUUAAUCAAUGAAGUUGAUGAAUACUCAGAAAGUUUUACGUGACCAGCCUGAGAUAACUAUUAAAUGGCAGUGAUGAGACUGACUCUGGUGUUUACUUCAAAUCUCACUCUUUCCAUCAUGAUAAAACUGCUCUCAACAUUUCUUAUUCCAUUUUUGUUUCUGAAAGAUGGUUUUAGUGAACUGAAGCUUGCCAAAACCUCAUUCUGACUACAAAUCAUGGAGCCUCCCCCAUGAACUUACCAACUGCUUCCAGAGUUACUUCUUAAAUCUUGUUUUAGCCAUUAAAUUUUGGUCUGAUAAAUAAGGCAGUCAUUUUAACUAUGUAAGAAGAAUGAAAAUAGGGGGAAAAUGACUAACCCCUCCUACAUUUUCCCUGUCAACGGGGAAAGAACAAGUCAGGACUGGAUUUAAACGUACGUCCAUGGUUUAAGGAUGAGGAGUUUGGGGAAUCGUCUUUAGGUUCAUAAAAGAUGCCUCAUUUCACUUUCACUGAGAGAAUGAAAGAAGAUGGGAGUGUUGAGCUUGUAACACAAGGAAUUUAAAUUAAAGGCAUAACAGAACUUCAAAACAGUAAGAGACAUCAUUCACUGGAAUGGAAGGACGCUUCAGAAACAUGUGGAUUCCUCUUCUCUUGCCAUGUGAUUCUCCUAGGAGGCUUCGAGUGGAGGAUAGGGGUGAUGACUGAAAUGAUUUCAGAAGGUUCCAUCCAGUCUUCACUGUGUAGUUUCAGUUGGUACAGUAGAAAGAGUAAUGGACAAGGAUGCAGGUGUCUGGGUUCUCCAGGGCUCUGUCACUCUCUAGCUGGGCACCCUCCGACAGAACAUUUAACUCCUCUGAGCCUUAGUUUUGUUACCUUAAUCAUAAAAUGGGACUAGUGGAUCUUGGUCUAACCUCCCUGACAGAUGAUGAUGAAAAGCCCUUGAGAUAACCUUUACUAUAUGUAAGUUCAUGAGGGCAAACUUCUUUAUUUUUAUUACUAUGAUAUUCCAAGAGUGUGCUUGGGAAUAUGUACUCCACCUGGUACAUGGCAAGCAUUCAAUAAGGGUUUGGUGAAUAGAUGUAUAAACAACUGAUGUAAAAAUACUUUGCAAUGUGGAAAGAAUGGAAAUGGGAAGUAUCACAGGUAUAUCAAUUGCCUGUGGUGACUAUUCCAGUGUGUAACCCCAUUACCUCUUUCACCUUCAUACCAUCCCGUGCCCGCCCCUAUGAGUCAGCAUGAGCUCAGAAGGGACAAACUGAUAAUGUUGAUCUCUAUCAAACAAAAUCAAGCUGGUGGCUACAGGAAGCAUAUCAUGAUACUUGGUGAAAAUUGAAGUUACAGAUGCUAUUGGUGGCUUCUUUUUUGGAAGUUUCUAUUUUCCUUGGGCCUUGUUGAAGGGAGUAUAGAGAACCUACCUGUUGUUUUAUCUGAACUUAACAGGGACGUGGGCAUACAGACCAGGAGGAAGGCUCUCCAAGCCCAUCUUUGAUGAAAGCCCUUCUGACAGAUUAUCUGUAAUUCCUUGACAGGGCAGUGAGUUGCUGUCCCAACUGACUGCAGGCAGUUAUGAUCAGAUAAUUGAAUUGGCGCAUGCCCCUGUGUAAUCGAAAAAAGUUGGCACCCAUCUCUCAACUUGAUAUUAACUUAGCGUUUUUCCAGACAACCUCCCUGCCCCAUCACAGAGUUGCCUCUCAAAUAUAAAUGUCAAGUAAGGCAGCAGAAAUUAAUUUUAUAUGCUUUGUGGGCACUAGGUAAUACUCAGAAGGCUAACAAUGGAAGAACAGAAUUAUAAAAGAAUUGGGAAUGAAUAUGCUUUAUAGACCCUGGCACAUUGCCCAGGGCAGUAGAGUAAGUGGGAGAAGAAAACGCUGGUGAUUGGGGUGAGUAGUCAGCUUUCUUUUCAGCAUGAGUGGUUUUUAGAACAACCAGAAUGUUCCCUUUUAAAGACAGCAUACACGCUUUUGAUUCCUAGGCCUACCUCCAAGACACCAGGACGCUCAAGUCUUCUGAUGUCCAGGUACCCAGUUGAUGGUGGUAGCAAUAGAUUUUGUUCUGGCAAUUGUAGUGUUCUCCACAUGAAGAAUAAAGAUGGGAGCACCUAAUUGGUAUUCUGCCUGCACUGAACAUUUUAGCUUGUAGUUCAGUGGGUUGCUCUGAAAUUACAUUGCCUAUGUCUGAAUUCCACUUUUGCCAUUUAGUGGCUGUGCAACCUUAGGCAGCUUACUUAAUUUCCAUGUGCCUUAGUUUUCAUAUCCAUAAACUACAAAUAAUACUAGCACCUAUUUCAUAGAGUGGUUGAAAGGGUUCAACCAGCUGACUCAUGAAAAGCAUGUAGAAAAUUGUCUGGCACAUGAUAAGUACUCAGCUAACAUUGGUUGUACAAAUUAUAUUGUCAAUUAAAAAUGUAUGCAAUUUGAACUUUCCAACUUUAGAUUAGGGAUGGCUAUCUUUCCCAACUUUUUUCUUUCUCCAUUAGUGUUGAGAGAUUUUAAUGCUUCUGUGAUUCUAUAACCCUAUCUCUACGUUUAGAUCUCGACUUCCAUCAAUAAGAGGUAGAGUUAGAAAAGUACCUGGGACUGAAAGUUCUGAGUUUGUGUGCCAACUCAGCCAGUAACUAGCUGGAUGACUCUAGGGUAAGGUCACUUUCCCUCCUGCAGUCUCACUUGUUUAUUUUCAAAUGAGGGGAUUGGACCACUUGACCUCUAGAGAUGCUUCUAGUCCCAACAUUCAAGAAAUCUGCUACUCCCAUGGAAGCUCAGGGACCCUCAUACCUAAAUCCUUAGGUGACCUAGUUUGGCUUCUACUCUGUGUUGAAUACCAGUGGCACAUCACCAAUCCUCCUUUCCCAAGUACAUUUUCACCAUACUUUCUGCCUCCCACUCCUCCUACUCCUCCUCUGUCACUUAGCAACUUGGGGUCCCAGCAUGAGUAAGUGGGAGGAACUGGAAUUUCCAGAGUCCAACUAGCUGCAAACUUCCCCUUCUAGUUCCCUAGGUCACCCUCACAUUUCUUGCAGCUUCUCAAGGUCCCUGGUCUUUUUACUUCCAGAACAUCUUGUCAACGGAAGACGCUCUACAGAAUGAGCAGUCACAUGUGAAUGGGUCUGUCUCAUGUAGUCAUGGAGCUAUCAUUUUCCCCUUAGUUUAUCAUCAAGUCAACUGGAAGUUGAAGUCCCAAUAUUAUAGGCAACCAGCAUGUGCUUCUACCCUGUACAUGGUCUUAAAAGUCAGGACAUAUAUGAAAUUGUGAUACGAUAUCAUUCCUAACUUAAGACCCUGAUGCAGAGGAAUAAUAUAUGGCCAUGAUGAUUCCUCAAGGAUCUAGAACCAGAAAUACCAUUUGACCCAGCAAUCCCAUUACUGGGUAUAUGCUCAAAGGAUUAUAAAUCAUUCUACUAUAAAGACACACGCACAUGUAUGUUUAUUGCAGCACUAUUCACAAUAGCAAAGUCUUGGAACCAACCCAAAUGCCCAUCAAUGAUAGACUGGAUAGAGAAAAUGUGGCACAUAUACACCAUGGAAUACUAUGCAGCCAUUAAAAAGGAUGAGUUCAUGUCCUUUGCAGGGACAUGGAUGAAGCUGGAAACCAUCAUCCUCAGCAAACUAACACAAGCAACUAAACACCCUCAAUCUGGGUGGGCAUCACCUAAUCAGCAGCCAGUGCAGCUAGGAUAAGGAGGCAGGAGAAGGCGGAAUAGCAGACUUGCUGGGUCUUCCAGGCUCCAUCUUUCUCCCGUGCUGGAUGCUUCCUGCCUUCAAACAUCAGACUCCAGGUUUUUCAGCUUUUGGAUUCUUGGACUUACACCAGUGAUUUGCCAGGGGCUCUUCGGCCUUUGCCCAAAGACUGAAGGCUGCACUGUCAGCUUCCCUACUUCUGAGGUUUUGGGACUUGCACUGACUUCCUUGCUCCUCAGCUUGUAGAUGGUCUAUGUUGGGACUUCACCUUGUGAUCGUGUGAGUCAAUUUUUCUAAUAAACUCCCCUUCCUAUAUACAUAUAUCCUAUUAAUUCUGUUCCUUCAGAGAGCCCUGACUAAUACACUACCCAAAGGAAAAGAAGUCAUUUUAUGAAAAAGGCACCUGCACACACAUGUUUAUGGCAGCCCAAUUCACAAUUGCAAAGAUACGGAAGCAACCUAAGUCCACAUCGAUCAGUGAGUGGAUAAAGAAAAUGUAGUAUAUAUCCACCAUGGAACACUACUUAGCCAUAAAGAGGAAGAAAGUAAUGUCUUUUGCAGCAACUUGGAUGGAGCUGCAGGUCAUUAUUCUAAGUAAAGUAACCCAGGAAUGGAAACCCAAAUACUGUACAUUCUUACUUAUAAGUGGGAACUAAGCUAUAGGGAAGCAAAAACAUAUACAGUGAUAUAAAGGACUGUGGGAACUUGGCGGAGAAGUUGAGAGGAGGGUGAGAGAUAAAAGACUACAUAUUAGGUACAGUGUACACUGUUUGGGUGAUGGGUGCACUAAAAUCUCAGAAUUCACCAGUAAAGAACUCAUCCACCCUAAAAACUAUUGAAAUAAAAAAUAAUAAUAUAAAGAAAAAUAAAAUAAAUAAUAAUAAACUAUUGUUACAAUAGCUUGGGUGAAUCUCAAAGGCAUAAUGCUGAGUGAAAGAAGCUAGUUUCAGAAAAUUACAUGCUGUAUAAAUUCAUUCAUAUGACAUCCUCAAAAAGAUAAAACUAUAGUAAUAGAGAAAAGAUCAUUGGUUGCCGGGGUUAGAAAUAUGGAGAGAGUAUGACUACAAAGGGAGUAGUAGCAUGAAGGAGUUCUUUGGGGUCAUGGAACUGUACUGUAUUCUGAUAAUAGUAGUGGUUACAUGAUCCUACAUAUAUGUUAAAGCUCAUGGAGCUAUAAAACCCCCGAAAGUCAAUUUUGCUAUAUUUUAAUUUUUAAAGAAAGGAACAUAGAGCUAUUUUGAGAAAAAUAAAGACAUGAAAGGAUAGCCCAAGAGAGUCCAGUAGAAGAAGCAGAGGCAAAGUUUUCCUUGGCUCUUGGUUAUGGGCUGUCUGCUGAAUAUGAGUCUUGGAUCUUUUUCAGCAUCAACUUGCAGAAGCUAUGCCUUUCCACCCUUGCCCUUGUAGCUUCUCUGAGUCCAGGUCUCCCCACUCCCAUGCCAAUGGACCCUUCAUAAUGGGGAAGGCAUCACAGCAAGACGCAGGCUUGGGGCUUUCCCAAUGACCAGGUUCUCAUUAAGUGCCAUCUCACCAUCAACCAGCGACAGCAAUGUCCCUCUUGCCCAAGCUCCUCCCUUCCCUGCACUCUGGUUGCCCUCUAAAUGGCACCAGCCCAAACCAGGGACAGUCACUCGUCCACUCACUUCCCAAAUAUUUACAGAGCGCCUGUUGGGUGCCAGGCUCCUCCAGGGGCCCUGCUGCCAGGCCGAAGCCCACGGCGGCAUAUUCUGGAGAGCCCGGCUGUUGGAGCAGCUGUCCUCUCAAGAACCAGCACUGGCAUGUCCUGUCCCAGAGGACCCAGGUCGUUAUCUCAUUUCCCAUCUUUGCAGAUUUUAAAUGCUUUCCAACACUUCACCCCUUUCUCAGAUGAAGAUUUAAACAUAGGCGGGUGGACAUCCAAUAUGGUAAUAUUUUUCUGUUGAUUCAUCAACCUCCACAGGCACUUGCUUCCUUGAUUCUCUGACCUUAUUCAGUUGGUACUUUCAGUGUGACAACUUUUCUCAACUCACUGGCAGAAAAAAUCAUUCUCGUCCUGUUUCCAGAGGUGCAACAGGAGGUUGGCAAGAGUAAGUCUUAAAGAACAGCAGUGAUGCCUGCUAGGGCCCUGACAGAUUGGCAAUAGAACUGGGGCUAGAGUCUACACCGCAAGAGCUCCCGUGCGUUUCCACAGUCAAACAACCCAGAAUGCUGAACAUCUUACAAUCUGAAGAAUUUGUCCAAAAACCAGACAGAAAUGGAGGAAGCUCUCUCCCAAGUAUCUGCAUAAGCAACGUAGGGCAGAAACACUUUCAAAACUCUGUCGUGUCCUGGGGGCAAGAGAUGUUUUUGAUAGAUGUUGCGAUGACAGCAGUUCACAGCAGCCCCACAUUCAGGGAACUGUUCCAGCGCGCCAGAGGUUGGGAGGCUUUUAACUCUCUUCAUUCAUCCUCACACACGCCAGCUAAGCGAAAGCAACGUGAAGGAGCUGACAAACCACAAAGACCAGGAAAUGCAGAGUAAAUGCUGAUCGGAAGAGCAGUAGAAGGUAAAUGGGUAUCAAAAUAUAAUCUGGGAGUGCGGGCUGGCCUUAGGAUGCUUGAAAGCUGUUCUGAUGACUUCCCAGCACACGCGGAGGAGACCAGCCCGCAGGUGCCAGGAGCGGGAAGGGAAGCAAAUGUACACCCUUGUGCACUUGCCCAGUGCACACCGCAAAUGUGCUGUCCCUGGUGCGGUGUGCAGCAAGGCUGGCCUAAUGCUAAACUUUGGUCAGAGCUUUGCUGAGUGAGAACGCCAGUUCCAACCCUCAAUGUGACACUUUAUUAAUUAAGUGAGGGAUUUACAGCAAUAACUGAUAAUCAAAUGGAACAAUUGUAACAAUAUACUGCAAUACAAGUUUUGUGAUUGUGGUCUCUACCUUGCUGUACUGUGCUCAC